Molecule: long non-coding RNA, 1020 nt
Organism: Phascolarctos cinereus (koala)
Lineage: Eukaryota; Metazoa; Chordata; Mammalia; Diprotodontia; Phascolarctidae
Source: RefSeq, a predicted model, not a curated record
CCGAGAAAGAUGGGGGCCGAGGGAGACCCAGCACUAAACACUAGUGGCUGGGUCUGGAGACCGAGCCUCCCUCUUCGGCCUUCGAUGGCCUCGAGCCAAGGACGGAAAGCUCAAGCUCGUCCUCUGCAGACCUUGUAAUCAUCAGCAUUGUUUCCACUACAUAACCUAGUUAAGAAGCAUCGUGGUAGAAGAGAAAGGAUGUGUCUGUGGCUGUCACUAUUCCCUGGGAAAGGAAAGAUUCCACUCACCAUGAGACUUUAAUAGGAUCCUGAAGAUUUAGAAGUGGGUGUCGCCCAAGGCUCCGCCUUCCUUCCUCUUGGUGAGCUCAUCGGUCUCCAUGGCUUUGGGGAUGACUUCCAUCCCUGUGACCGUCUGCAGCAUCGGUGCCAGCCUGCUGCCCACACUGCAGUCCUGUAUCCCCUGGGACAGCGGGGUCUGUAUGGCCAACUACUGCACCUGAACUUGUCACCAUUUCCCUACAUGUGCCACCUCCCUAGCCUGCUUUUGUUGUUGGCAUUAUCACCCUUUAGAGAGUCCAAGCCCACAAGAUGGAGUCACCUGGACUCUUCCUCCGCCUUACCUCACAACUCAAUAGUCCCGUUGUCCCUCCCUUAGCCAUAUUGUUUGCAUCCAGAGCUUCACCUACAGGCUCACUACCUCCACACUAGCCCCGGCCCCGCUCUCUUCACUUAGACUACUGUGAUAUUGACCCCUGCUCCUGAUGUCUCCCCUCUCCAUUCCAUCCCCCACUCUGAUGCUUGGACAAUCCUCUUAUGCUCCACUGUGACCACAUCUAUGUGACCCUUUUACUCAAAACCUUCCAGUUACUUCCUCUUUUCCGUGGAAUAAAGGACCAGCUCCUGAUCCUGGCAUUCAAGGCCUCUUUGUCUUGUCCUGUUUCACAAAGCUGCCCUUCAUGCGUCUCUGUUCCAGGCCAUUUGGACUAUCCUCGGCCCAUCCGUUCUCACCCUCCCCUUCCUUGGCUUCCUUCUUCUGCUCAAGUUGCCUCCCAGGCCUAGA